GAUGAAGAACGCAGCGAAAUGCGAUAAGUAAUGUGAAUUGCAGAAUUCAGUGAAUCAUCGAAUCUUUGAACGCACAUUGCGCCCAUUAGUAUUCUAUUGGGCAUGCCUGUUCGAGCGUCAUUAAGUCCACUUAAGCCCUGCUUAGUGUUGGGAGACUGCUCCAGCGGUGCUACCCUGUAGCUACCCUGCAGCUCCUCAAAGACAGCGGCGGAGUUGUGGUAUCCUCUGAGCUUAGUAACUUGUUCUAGCUUUCGAGUACACCACUUCCCCUGCCGUAAAACCCUUAAUUUUUAAUGGUUGACCUCGGAUCAGGUAGGAAUACCCGCUGAACUUAAGCAUAUCAAUAAGCGGAGGA
This 355-nucleotide unclassified non-coding RNA is filed under the name soil metagenome. RNAcentral's name for it is "partial contains 5.8S ribosomal RNA, internal transcribed spacer 2, and large subunit ribosomal RNA". The stretch from base 1 to 120 matches the Rfam family "5.8S ribosomal RNA", at positions 35 to 154 of the family's 154-position model. The record is from RNAcentral.